This 75-nucleotide transfer RNA is filed under the name Glutamicibacter creatinolyticus. Its description in RNAcentral is "tRNA-Met". It matches the Rfam family "tRNA". From Rfam's summary of the family: Transfer RNA (tRNA) molecules are approximately 80 nucleotides in length. Their secondary structure includes four short double-helical elements and three loops (D, anti-codon, and T loops). Further hydrogen bonds mediate the characteristic L-shaped molecular structure. tRNAs have two regions of fundamental functional importance: the anti-codon, which is responsible for specific mRNA codon recognition, and the 3' end, to which the tRNAs corresponding amino acid is attached (by aminoacyl-tRNA synthetases). tRNAs cope with the degeneracy of the genetic code in two manners: having more than one tRNA (with a specific anti-codon) for a particular amino acid; and 'wobble' base-pairing, i.e. permitting non-standard base-pairing at the 3rd anti-codon position. The record is from RNAcentral. RNAcentral also lists the same sequence under 1 other name. Lineage: Bacteria; Bacillati; Actinomycetota; Actinomycetes; Micrococcales; Micrococcaceae.
GGGGCGUUAGCUCAGUUGGUUAGAGCAGGGGACUCAUAAUCCCUUGGUCGCCGGUUCAAGUCCGGCACGCCCUAC